CUGGCUCAGACUGAACGCUGGCGGCAGGCCUAACACAUGCAAGUCGAACGGUAACAGGAAGAAGCUUGCUCUUGCUGACGAGUGGCGGACGGGUGAGUAAUGUCUGGGAAACUGCCUGAUGGAGGGGGAUAACUACUGGAAACGGUAGCUAAUACCGCAUAACGUCGCAAGACCAAAGAGGGGGACCUUCGGGCCUCUUGCCAUCGGAUGUGCCCAGAUGGGAUUAGCUAGUAGGUGGGGUAACGGCUCACCUAGGCGACGAUCCCUAGCUGGUCUGAGAGGAUGGCCAGCCACACUGGAACUGAGACACGGUCCAGACUCCUACGGGAGGCAGCAGUGGGGAAUAUUGCACAAUGGGCGCAAGCCUGAUGCAGCCAUGCCGCGUUGUAUGAAGAAGGCCUUCGGGUUGUAAAGUACUUUCAGCGGGGAGGAAGGGAGUAAAGUUAAUACCUUUGCUCAUUGACGUUACCCGCAGAAGAAGCACCGGCUAACUCCGUGCCAGCCGCAGC
This 509-nucleotide ribosomal RNA is filed under the name uncultured bacterium. RNAcentral's name for it is "bacterial SSU rRNA". It matches the Rfam family "Bacterial small subunit ribosomal RNA", at positions 19 to 518 of the family's 1533-position model. The record is from RNAcentral.